This 852-nucleotide ribosomal RNA is filed under the name uncultured bacterium. RNAcentral's name for it is "bacterial SSU rRNA". It matches the Rfam family "Bacterial small subunit ribosomal RNA", at positions 60 to 914 of the family's 1533-position model. The record is from RNAcentral.
AGUCGAACGAUGAUCAGGAGCUUGCUCCUGUGAUUAGUGGCGAACGGGUGAGUAACACGUGAGUAACCUGCCCCUGACUCUGGGAUAAGCGUUGGAAACGACGUCUAAUACUGGAUAUGAUCACUGGUCGCAUGGCCUGGUGGUGGAAAGAUUUUUUGGUUGGGGAUGGACUCGCGGCCUAUCAGCUUGUUGGUGAGGUAAUGGCUCACCAAGGCGACGACGGGUAGCCGGCCUGAGAGGGUGACCGGCCACACUGGGACUGAGACACGGCCCAGACUCCUACGGGAGGCAGCAGUGGGGAAUAUUGCACAAUGGGCGAAAGCCUGAUGCAGCAACGCCGCGUGAGGGAUGACGGCCUUCGGGUUGUAAACCUCUUUUAGUAGGGAAGAAGGGAGCUUCGGUUCUUGACGGUACCUGCAGAAAAAGCACCGGCUAACUACGUGCCAGCAGCCGCGGUAAUACGUAGGGUGCAAGCGUUGUCCGGAAUUAUUGGGCGUAAAGAGCUCGUAGGCGGUUUGUCGCGUCUGCUGUGAAAUCCCGAGGCUCAACCUCGGGCUUGCAGUGGGUACGGGCAGACUAGAGUGCGGUAGGGGGGAUUGGAAUUCCUGGUGUAGCGGUGGAAUGCGCAGAUAUCAGGAGGAACACCGAUGGCGAAGGCAGAUCUCUGGGCCGUAACUGACGCUGAGGAGCGAAAGCAUGGGGAGCGAACAGGAUUAGAUACCCUGGUAGUCCAUGCCGUAAACGUUGGGCGCUAGAUGUAGGGACCUUUCCACGGUUUCUGUGUCGUAGCUAACGCAUUAAGCGCCCCGCCUGGGGAGUACGGCCGCAAGGCUAAAACUCAAAGGAAUUGAC